CUGAUAAGACCCCUUGCUUCCUAUAAGGGAAUGUGACCUUCCCUAAUACAAUCCACUCUUUCUUCUGCCUGUUGAAAACUUUCCAUUUUGCACAACUCCUAGGAGCGCCUUUCUAUUUACUAGGCGGGAUGCUGCCCGAUUCAUGAGUUGUUUAGUAGGCCAAGUAGAUUUUCAGAUUUACUCAGUUGAUGCUUGUGUUUUAAGUGUUGAGCUGUAUUGAAGCAGGAUUAAAGAAAUGACUGAAUUAAGUGUGAUCUUUUCUUUUAUUGUUUUUCCAACUUUCUGAACAAAAAUCCAAAAGGAUAGCAACACUAAAGUGGAUGAUGAAUAUUUGCUGAAGCCUUCCACAUGUCUUUGGGUAAAAAAAAGGGGAAAACAAUCCAUGUGGGACUGAGUUCAUCUUCCUGACACACACAAUGCACUUAACGCCUUAAGAAAACUCAGAGGAAAGCUCUACGGCCGCCACUGUGAGACCAGACGGGAAACCGAAGGCAAAAGGGCAGUGGUCAGUGAGUAGCAAGCCGAAAUACGACACCAAGGAACUGAAAUAGGAUUAUUCCACUUGAAACGUGACUCCCGGCGAGGCACUUACCCUCAGAGCUCCCGGAAAGUGAGGGCGGUCGGGCCCACUAAACAAGAGAAUUUGCGCCCGACCGCGUCACUAAGGUGCUUUGAAAUCACCUGGCGAACGGCAUGCUAGACAAAGAAAACGGCCAGCGCAAGUGAAACUAGUCCGGGUUCGCGAAAGCACUCGGCCCAAAAAGCCUGAUCAGAAAGACGGGAGGGCUGGGGAGAGUCGCGAAGUGUAGCCCCAGGCUGCGUCGCCGCCCCGGAACCGAGCCGACGCCCGUGGGAUGAGAAGGGCGGGACAGGCAUCGGGGCGGGACUCUCACCGGCCGCCGGGCCUGCCCAGCCCCGGAGGGAGAGAACAGAGGAUCCGGGCACCAGCCGAGGCGCCGGGCACUAUCUCUACCUGCGGCGAGUCGCCGCUACAGCCGCCGCCGGGCUACCCACCCCACACCGCCAGGGGGCCCAACGCAGCGUGCACCCGCGCAACAGACGCACGGCGGCCGCGACCCCACAGCCGGCGCCGCUGACGUCAGGCCGACGUCAGAGCGGACGCCGCGGCGGGGCGGGAGCUGGGACGGCGAAGGAGGGCGUUUUCGGAGCACGCGCUGGGCUGGGGCCGCUGACGUCGGGCUCAGGGCCGCGGCGAGAAGGCGAGAGUCCGCGCUUUCCGAGGGAGCUGCGCCGGCCUCGGCCCCGCGGGGUCCCACCGCACCCGAGAGGAUGGAGAGCCUCCCCCGACGCCCCAGCAGGGCCCGCGAUCCCACGCUGGCCGGCCCUCGCUAGCUGCUCGAAAUUUGCGUUUUAUCCACCACCUAGGCCUUGUCUCCUGAGUCAGUGGCGUUGUGGUUCCAAAGAAAUGGAAGAAAAGGAGCGAUGUGACCGACUCCGUUCGGUCCUCCUACCUUGA
Molecule: long non-coding RNA, 1477 nt
Filed under: Delphinapterus leucas (beluga whale)
Lineage: Eukaryota; Metazoa; Chordata; Mammalia; Artiodactyla; Monodontidae
Description: lncRNA (ENSDLEG00000010720.1)
Source: RNAcentral